RNAcentral lists this ribosomal RNA (253 nucleotides) under uncultured bacterium. Its description in RNAcentral is "partial 16S ribosomal RNA". It matches the Rfam family "Bacterial small subunit ribosomal RNA", at positions 524 to 776 of the family's 1533-position model. The record is from RNAcentral.
UACAGAGGGUGCGAGCGUUAAUCGGAAUUACUGGGCGUAAAGCGCGCGUAGGUGGUUUGUUAAGUCGGAUGUGAAAUCCCAGGGCUCAACCUUGGAAUGGCACCCGAUACUGGCAGGCUAGAGUACGGUAGAGGGAUGUGGAAUUUCCUGUGUAGCGGUGAAAUGCGUAGAUAUAGGAAGGAACAUCAGUGGCGAAGGCGACAUCCUGGACUGAUACUGACACUGAGGUGCGAAAGCGUGGGGAGCAAACAGG